RNAcentral lists this ribosomal RNA (476 nucleotides) under Pseudomonas sp. NN018598. RNAcentral's name for it is "bacterial SSU rRNA". It matches the Rfam family "Bacterial small subunit ribosomal RNA", at positions 30 to 497 of the family's 1533-position model. Lineage: Bacteria; Pseudomonadati; Pseudomonadota; Gammaproteobacteria; Pseudomonadales; Pseudomonadaceae. The record is from RNAcentral.
AUUGAACGCUGGCGGCAGGCCUAACACAUGCAAGUCGAGCGGCAGCACGGGUACUUGUACCUGGUGGCGAGCGGCGGACGGGUGAGUAAUGCCUAGGAAUCUGCCUGGUAGUGGGGGAUAACGCUCGGAAACGGACGCUAAUACCGCAUNCGUCCUACGGGAGAAAGCAGGGGACCUUCGGGCCUUGCGCUAUCAGAUGAGCCUAGGUCGGAUUAGCUAGUUGGUGAGGUAAUGGCUCACCAAGGCGACGAUCCGUAACUGGUNUGAGAGGAUGAUCAGUCACACUGGAANUGAGACACGGUCCAGACUCCUACGGGAGGCAGCAGUGGGGAAUAUUGGACAAUGGGNGAAAGCCUGAUCCANCCAUGCCGCGUGUGUGAAGAAGGUCUUCGGAUUGUAAAGCACUUUAAGUUGGGAGGAAGGGCAUUUACCUAAUACGUAAGUGUNNNGACGUUACCGACAGAAUAAGCACCGGC